This 253-nucleotide ribosomal RNA is filed under the name uncultured bacterium. Its description in RNAcentral is "partial 16S ribosomal RNA". It matches the Rfam family "Bacterial small subunit ribosomal RNA", at positions 524 to 776 of the family's 1533-position model. The record is from RNAcentral.
UACAGAGGUCUCAAGCGUUGUUCGGAUUCAUUGGGCGUAAAGGGUGCGUAGGUGGCGUGGCAAGUCUGAUGUGAAAUCCCGGGGCUCAACCCCGGAACUGCAUUGGAUACUGCCAUGCUUGAGCACUGGAGAGGAGACUGGAAUUUACGGUGUAGCAGUGAAAUGCGUAGAUAUCGUAAGGAAGACCAGUGGCGAAGGCGAGUCUCUGGACAGUUGCUGACACUGAGGCACGAAAGCUAGGGGAGCAAACGGG